This 464-nucleotide ribosomal RNA is filed under the name Vreelandella stevensii. RNAcentral's name for it is "partial 16S ribosomal RNA". It matches the Rfam family "Bacterial small subunit ribosomal RNA", at positions 338 to 795 of the family's 1533-position model. The record is from RNAcentral. Lineage: Bacteria; Pseudomonadati; Pseudomonadota; Gammaproteobacteria; Oceanospirillales; Halomonadaceae.
CCUACGGGUGGCUGCAGUGGGGAAUAUUGGACAAUGGGCGAAAGCCUGAUCCAGCCAUGCCGCGUGUGUGAAGAAGGCCUUCGGGUUGUAAAGCACUUUCAGUGGGGAAGAAAGCCUUGGGGCUAAUACCCUCGAGGAAGGACAUCACCCACAGAAGAAGCACCGGCUAACUCCGUGCCAGCAGCCGCGGUAAUACGGAGGGUGCGAGCGUUAAUCGGAAUUACUGGGCGUAAAGCGCGCGUAGGCGGUCUGAUAAGCCGGUUGUGAAAGCCCCGGGCUCAACCUGGGAACGGCAUCCGGAACUGUCAGGCUAGAGUGCAGGAGAGGAAGGUAGAAUUCCCGGUGUAGCGGUGAAAUGCGUAGAGAUCGGGAGGAAUACCAGUGGCGAAGGCGGCCUUCUGGACUGACACUGACGCUGAGGUGCGAAAGCGUGGGUAGCAAACAGGAUUAGAUACCUAGUAGUC